UUUAAGGUCUGACCAAAGGACAAAGGUUCCUUGGUGUCAAAAUCUAAUGUAGGACACUUAUGUAACCUUUUAAUGUCGCUUGUAAAUGACCAAUUAAAUAAAAUUUAUAUUGUACCAAUCAAUGCUACCUAUACUACUAAGUGGUACAAGUGGCAAGACGAAGUCUAUCAUUAAAGGUAUGUCAUGAUUAUUGGAAAUGUAACACCCCAAGAUUUUUAAGGUAAUAUUUUAUUUUAAUUUUUAUAUCAAAUUACUUUUAUUUAAAGAUUUUUAGUUUAGAGGGUGGUAUUGCAUUUUAGGAUUUGUUUGGAAAGGAAAGAAAACAAGGAAACAAUUAUAUAUAGCAAAUAAUAAUAAUAGUUUGAAUAUAAUAUUAAUAAUUAUUAUUAUAAUUGUUUAUAAAAAAAAGAGAAGAAAAAUUAAAUUAUUUUCCCCCUUUCUUCUUCCUCGCGCGCGCAACCCCCCCCCCCCCCCCCCUCAUUUUCCCGUUUUUCUCCUUCUCCUUGCCCUAGCCGCCGGCCGCCUCUCCAUCCGCAAGCUGCGUUCGUGACGCCUAGCCGCUGCCGCCGGUCGUUUGCGAAGUAGUGGACCGCAAAAUCGUCCGCACGUCGUCUCUCCGUCUAUCCCGUUUCUAAGCCUCAUCGUCCACCGUUCGCAAGGCCGCCGACCGUUCACGCCGUCUCACCAUCACGAACGACUCUGUUCGUGAAGUUGUCAGCCGUUCGGGAAGUGGUGCGUCGUGAAGCUGCCUCUGCCUCCGUUCGCAAAUCUGAAGUCGCGCGCGUCCGUGUCUUCCAAUCGCACGUGUAACGCAACUUCACUUCUCCAACCAGGAUGGGUCACAUCCAAAUCUUCCUUUCGCAUGGGUCGAUUUCGCCUGUGCUAAGUUGCAAUUUCUACCCUACCACAGGAAGUAUUGGGUUUUAGUGUAAUUUUGUAAUUGUGAAUUUGAUGGUCUCCUUAUGAUUGAUUCGUUGAGAUGAAAUGUUAAAUUUAAACAAUUGGUUAAUAAUGUUCAAAUUGAGGCGGAGUUAGACCUCAUGUAAUCGCGACAAGUUUGUUUGGUGUUAAAUUCUCUAUUUAAAUUAGGAUUGGUGCGUUGGACUUUGUUAUCAAGAAACUUAGGAAAUCUUAAGAUAAUGGACUUUCUACUAGACUCAAUAACAAAAAUUAAGAUGUAUUGGUUGUAUGAACCGUAAUUUUAUAUAUGAACUGAGUAGGGAUGACGGUUAUGAUGUAUGUUUGGAUGUGGAUUUAAUGUUUAAUGUUUACUGGGUUUGACUGGGAGAAAUUUAUAUAUAUGUGCAUGGAUUGAUGUGGACUUGUGGUUGAAUGUAUGUUGUGACUCUCUGGUUAUGUAUAUGUACAAACAUAAGGAUGUGGAAAUGACUGAAUCUCGUACAUGUUGCUUAUAGACUGAGGAGGAGGUUAUGAUUAUUUAGUUUGUUAACUGAUGGAUUGAUAUGUUUUUGACUGACCUUGGGCUAAAUUAGAGUAAUACGACUGUUUGGGGUUAAAUGAGGAGUUUAUGUGAUGAAAAAGUUUAACUAAACUGUGAACGACUAUUAAGAUGUUUAGAAUGGACUGAGGGAAAAAUUAUUAGUUUUCCUAUUGGGUAGUUACCUUGCCGGUGUCCUACGGGAUCACCACCCUUUUGUGCAUCAUUCGAGAGCACUCGAUUGAUAUGUGCAUCCUUCGGGAGCACUAGACUAAUAUGUGUUUCUGCAGAACACUAGACUGAUAUGUACGUCCCUCGGGGCGUUAGACUGAUUAUAUGUAUUCUACGGGAUCACAAGACUGUGACUGUACAGGUAUACCCAAUAGGAAGUUAAGAGUUUAUUUUUCCCUAACAGGACCAGUAGUGGGUCUCUUACUGAGUAUAAUUAUACUCACUCUUUUAUGUUUAACUUUUUCAG
This 1916-nucleotide long non-coding RNA is filed under the name Cucumis sativus (cucumber). Its description in RNAcentral is "long non-coding RNA (CSAT_LNC000610)". The record is from RNAcentral. Lineage: Eukaryota; Viridiplantae; Streptophyta; Magnoliopsida; Cucurbitales; Cucurbitaceae.